Molecule: ribosomal RNA, 498 nt
Filed under: uncultured bacterium
Lineage: Bacteria
Description: bacterial SSU rRNA
Rfam family: Bacterial small subunit ribosomal RNA
Source: RNAcentral
GAUCCUGGCUCAGAUUGAACGCUAGCGGGAUGCUUUACACAUGCAAGUCGAACGGCAGCACGAGAGAGCUUGCUCUCUUGGUGGCGAGUGGCGGACGGGUGAGUAAUAUAUCGGAACGUGCCCAGUANCGGGGGAUAACUACUCGAAAGAGUGGCUAAUACCGCAUACGCCCUACGGGGAAAGGGGGGAUCGCAAGACCUCUCACUAUUGGAGCGGCCGAUAUCGGAUUAGCUAGUUGGUGGGGUAAAGGCUCACCAAGGCAACGAUCCGUAGCUGGUUUGAGAGGACGACCAGCCACACUGGGACUGAGACACGGCCCAGACUCCUACGGGAGGCAGCAGUGGGGAAUUUUGGACAAUGGGGGCAACCCUGAUCCAGCCAUCCCGCGUGUGCGAUGAAGGCCUUCGGGUUGUAAAGCACUUUUGGCAGGAAAGAAACGGCGCCGGAUAAUACCUGGCGCUAAUGACGGUACCUGCAGAAUAAGCACCGGCUAACUAC